Molecule: ribosomal RNA, 504 nt
Filed under: uncultured bacterium
Lineage: Bacteria
Description: bacterial SSU rRNA
Rfam family: Bacterial small subunit ribosomal RNA
Source: RNAcentral
GAUGAACGCUAGCUACAGGCUUAACACAUGCAAGUCGAGGGGAACGAUAUUGGAAGCUUGCUUCCGAUAGGCGUCGACCGGCGCACGGGUGAGUAACGCGUAUCCAACCUGCCCAUCACUUGGGGAUAACCUUGCGAAAGUAAGACUAAUACCCAAUGACGUCUCUAGAAGACAUCUGAAAGAGAUUAAAGAUUUAUCGGUGAUGGAUGGGGAUGCGUCUGAUUAGCUUGUUGGCGGGGUAACGGCCCACCAAGGCGACGAUCAGUAGGGUUCUGAGAGGAAGGUCCCCCACAUUGGAACUGAGACACGGUCCAAAACUCCUAACGGGAGGCAGCAGUGAGGAAUAUUGGGUCAAUGGACGAGAGUCUGAACCAGCCAAGUAGCGUGCAGGAGACGGCCUAUGGGGUUGUAAAACUGCCUUUUUAUAAGGGAAUAAAGUGAGUCUCGUGAGACUUUUGCAUGUACCUUAUGAAUAAGGACCGGCUAAUUCCGUGCCAGCAGCCG